CAUGCAAGUCGAGCGAACAGACGAGGAGCUUGCUCCUCUGACGUUAGCGGCGGACGGGUGAGUAACACGUGGGUAACCUACCUAUAAGACUGGAAUAACUCCGGGAAACCGGGGCUAAUGCCGGAUAAUAUGCGGAACCGCAUGGUUCCGCAAUGAAAGACGGUUUUGCUGUCACUUAUAGAUGGACCCGCGCCGUAUUAGCUAGUUGGUAAGGUAACGGCUUACCAAGGCAACGAUACGUAGCCGACCUGAGAGGGUGAUCGGCCACACUGGAACUGAGACACGGUCCAGACUCCUACGGGAGGCAGCAGUAGGGAAUCUUCCGCAAUGGGCGAAAGCCUGACGGAGCAACGCCGCGUGAGUGAUGAAGGUCUUCGGAUCGUAAAACUCUGUUAUUAGGGAAGAACAAGUGCGUAGGUAACUAUGCGCACCUUGACGGUACCUAAUCAGAAAGCCACGGCUAA
This 464-nucleotide ribosomal RNA is filed under the name Staphylococcus piscifermentans. Its description in RNAcentral is "bacterial SSU rRNA". It matches the Rfam family "Bacterial small subunit ribosomal RNA", at positions 54 to 500 of the family's 1533-position model. The record is from RNAcentral. Lineage: Bacteria; Bacillati; Bacillota; Bacilli; Caryophanales; Staphylococcaceae.